RNAcentral lists this non-coding RNA (24 nucleotides) under Arabidopsis thaliana (thale cress). The record is from RNAcentral. Lineage: Eukaryota; Viridiplantae; Streptophyta; Magnoliopsida; Brassicales; Brassicaceae.
AUUGUUGUCCCAGUGCAUAGAAUA